Portunus trituberculatus (swimming crab) is the source of this 231-nucleotide long non-coding RNA. RefSeq lists it as uncharacterized. The record is from RefSeq and is a predicted model, not a curated record. NCBI's taxonomy places the organism in Eukaryota, Metazoa, Arthropoda, Malacostraca, Decapoda, Portunidae. The transcript is spliced from 2 exons.
CAUUUGACCGUCGGGGGGAGUAUACGUGUCUCUCUCGGUGGCUUGGCUUUACUUGCAGCCUGGCAAUGUUUUAAGGCGCCUGGCGUGGUGUGGCAGCUCAGUGACGCAAUGACGCCUCCUGGUGGCUAUAAGUGAUAGUAUUAGUGGCGCCAUCUAUUGCUUAAACAUGUUGGUUACGUGUUCCGGACCCCUCGUGACGUCAUCAGCAGACCGCCGCUGAUUGGCUGACAG